UUUUUUAUAGGUGUAAGAGGGUGAGAAGCCUCGUAGGUUCGAGUCGAGCGCGAAUGCGCAAGGCAGCGCCAGAACAAAGUGAUGGUGACCCGUAGGGCGAAGGCAAAGCCUGAGUAAUCCCUCUCUCACCGCCA
RNAcentral lists this small RNA (134 nucleotides) under Porticoccaceae bacterium. RNAcentral describes it as "RtT sRNA". It matches the Rfam family "RtT RNA". From Rfam's summary of the family: This family represents a bacterial cis-regulatory element known as RtT RNA. The exact function of RtT is unknown although it is thought that it may be involved in changing the cellular response in relation to amino acid starvation. The record is from RNAcentral. Lineage: Bacteria; Pseudomonadati; Pseudomonadota; Gammaproteobacteria; Cellvibrionales; Porticoccaceae.